This is a long non-coding RNA of Capsicum annuum, 447 nucleotides long. RefSeq lists it as uncharacterized. Lineage: Eukaryota; Viridiplantae; Streptophyta; Magnoliopsida; Solanales; Solanaceae. The transcript has 3 exons. The record is from RefSeq and is a predicted model, not a curated record.
AAAUAUUUGAAAACCAACCACAUGUGGUUGAUUUUCUAGAAAAUAUUUUCCAGAAAACCAACCACAUGUGGUCGGUUUUCAAAUAAUUUUUUUAAAAAAAUAAGUUAUUAACCCAAUCCGACCCGACCCGACUCGACUCGACAAAAAUAAUAAAAGAUCAAAACACACACACACCUAACCUAAUUAAACCUCGAUCUCAGCUACACCCACACCCAACAACACGCAGCAACACACACACAUGGUGAUCUACACCGGUUAGCCGGCGACUGCUCCCGCUCUACUACGGCGACGACAGCUCAGAUUCUGAAUCCGGGAUAAGGAUUGCUUUGCUAUUUUUUCUGGUGACCGCUUAACGAUCUCUUUCACUUUAAUUUAAGCCAAGCAAAGAUGGAACCUGAUUAUAGCUGGAUAUAUCAACGGAACAAUGAUAAUAGAAUGGGUAUUAGG